CCCUACGGGGUGCAGCAGGCGAGAAAACUUUGCAAUGUGCGAAAGCACGACAAGGUUAAUCCGAGUGGUUUCUGCUAAAGGAACCUUUUGUCAGUCCUAGAAACACUGAUGAAUAAGGGGUGGGCAAGUUCUGGUGUCAGCCGCCGCGGUAAAACCAGCACCUCAAGUGGUCAGGAUGAUUAUUGGGCCUAAAGCAUCCGUAGCCGGCUUUGUAAGUUUUCGGUUAAAUCCAUGCGCUCAACGUAUGGGCUGCCGGGAAUACUGCAAAGCUAGGGAGUGGGAGAGGUAGACGGUACUCGGUAGGAAGGGGUAAAAUCCUUUGAUCUAUUGAUGACCACCUGUGGCGAAGGCGGUCUACCAGAACACGUCCGACGGUGAGGGAUGAAAGCUGGGGGAGCAAACCGGAUUAGAUACCCGGGUAGUCCCAGCUGUAAACUAUGCAAACUCAGUGAUGCAUUGGCUUGAUGCCAAUGCAGUGCUGCAGGGAAGCCGUUAAGUUUGCCGCCUGGGAAGUACGUACGCAAGUAUGAAACUUAAAGGAAUUGGCGGGGGAGCACCACAAGGGGUGAAGCCUGCGGUUCAAUUGGAGUCAACGCCAGAAAUCUUACCCGGAGAGACAGCAGAAUGAAGGUCAAGCUGAAGACUUUACCAGACAAGCUGAGAAGAAGUGCAUGGCC
This 677-nucleotide ribosomal RNA is filed under the name uncultured archaeon. Its description in RNAcentral is "bacterial SSU rRNA". It matches the Rfam family "Archaeal small subunit ribosomal RNA", at positions 321 to 999 of the family's 1478-position model. The record is from RNAcentral.